UUAUAGAUUAUUUGUACCGUGAGGGGCAGAUUAAUUUACUUUUGUAAGUUGAUUUUAUUUGUUGUACCUUGUGUCUCAGGGUUUAUUAAUUUUUAUUAUUUAUUUUUAUUUCCCGAUUUCAGAGGAGUUAAGUGGGUAUUUUGAUUACUGUUUCAUCAGUAUCUUAAAUACUUAUUUGGUAGUGAUAUGUUAAUCGUUUCUGGUGGUAUCUGGUUUCUCAAGAAAUGAAUUUAAUUCACACUUCUUGUUUAGUUGUCAUUUUUCAUCUGUUUGUCUUUACUUGGGGUGAAGGUGUUAAGGGAUAAGCUUUAAUUCUUUAUUAUAAUGGUUUUGUUUGGGUUGUAUUGUGGGCUUUAUAUUGGCUAUCUAUUUGAGUAUUUUAAAAUUUUAUUUCCUUAGUUUAGUAAUUUGCGUUAAUUUAAUUUUGUAUUGGGAUGAUCGAUUUAAUUGUAUGGUCGUUGUAAUUAUGGUUGAAUUAGUAUAUUUGGAUUUAUUUUGUUUGGAUUUGUGUUAAGUUUUUUGGAGGAAUUAGGCAAAAGUUUGUUGGCGCCCGCCUGUUUAACAAAAACAUCUCUUCUUGUUAAGUUUUUGAAGUAUGGCCUGCCCACUGAUGGAUUUGAAGGGCCGCGGUAUUUUGACCGUGCAAAGGUAGCAUAAUCAUUAGUCCUUUAAUUGUGGACUGGAAUGAAUGGUUUGACGAGGUGCUAUCUGUCUUUGAAAUAUUUAUGUCGUUGAAUUUGGUGUUUGGGUAAAAAUACCUAGAUUUAUUUAUGGGACGAGAAGACCCUAUAGAGUUUAAUAUUAUUGGCUUUUGGUUAUGUUUGUCUCAUUUUGUUUAUGCUAAUAUUAUUUUGUUGGGGUGAUGGGAAGAUAAAGAUAACUCUUCCUUUGAAUUGUUUCAUUUAUUUGUGUAUUUUUGAUCCUUUAUUAUUGAUUGUAAGAUUAAAUUACCUUAGGGAUAACAGCGUAAUCUUUCCUGAGAGUUCCUAUUGACGGGAGGGUUUGCGACCUCGAUGUUGGAUUAAGGUGAAUUUUUGGUGUAGAAGCUUUAAGAAUAUACUUAUUAGGUCUGUUCGACCUUUAAAAUCUUACAUGAUCUGAGUUCAAACCGGCGUGAGCCAGGUUGGUUUCUAUCUAUAAUUCUUUUUCGAUUUCUUAGUACGAGAGGACCAGAGGUUGGGAAUAAUUUUGUUUGUUUUGAAUACUAUUAAUUU
Molecule: ribosomal RNA, 1214 nt
Filed under: Kalotermitidae sp. A SH-2022a
Lineage: Eukaryota; Metazoa; Arthropoda; Insecta; Blattodea; Kalotermitidae
Description: 16S ribosomal RNA
Rfam family: Bacterial large subunit ribosomal RNA (bases 769-1140)
Source: RNAcentral